UAAGGAAUCUUGCACAAUGGGGGAAACCCUGAUGCAGCGACGCCGCGUGGAGGAAGACGGCCUUCGGGUUGUAAACUCCUUUUAUCAGGGACGAACAUUGACGGUACCUGAUGAAUAAGGACUGGCUAACCAUGUGCCAGCAGCCGCGGUAAUACAUGGAGUCCAAACGUUAUCCGGAUUUACUGGGCGUAAAGCGUUCGUAGGCGUCCUGCCAAGUCUUCGGUGAAAUCUCCGGGCUUAACUCGGAAACUGUCGAGGAAACUGGCUGGAUUGAGUGUGACAGAGGCAGAUGGAAUUCUUGGUGUAGAGGUAGAAUUCGUUGAUAUCAAGAAGAACACCAGUGGCGAAGGCGAUCUGCUGGGUCAUCACUGACGCUGAGGAACGAAAGCGUGGGUAGCGA
This 400-nucleotide ribosomal RNA is filed under the name uncultured bacterium. RNAcentral describes it as "bacterial SSU rRNA". It matches the Rfam family "Bacterial small subunit ribosomal RNA", at positions 355 to 771 of the family's 1533-position model. The record is from RNAcentral.